AGCGUUGUGGCUCAGUGGUAGAGCGCGUACGAGCGGUCAACUGAUCCAAGAGUACGAGGUCGUCGGUUCAAAUCCAACCAAUGCGA
Molecule: non-coding RNA, 86 nt
Organism: Arthrobotrys conoides
Lineage: Eukaryota; Fungi; Ascomycota; Orbiliomycetes; Orbiliales; Orbiliaceae
Source: the annotation of a GenBank genome assembly